CAAACCGACACAGGUGGGUGAGGAGAGUAUCCUAAGGCCAGCGAGAGAACUGUUGUUAAGGAACUCGGCAAAAUGACCCCGUAACUUAGGGAUAAGGGGUGCCACCAUCAGGUGGCCGCAGAGAAUAGGCCCAAGCGACUGUUUACCAAAAACAUAGGUUUCUGCUAAGUCGCAAGACGAUGUAUAGGAGCUGACGCCUGCCCGGUGCUGGAAGGUUAAGGGGAUCUGUUAGAGCAAUCGAAGCAGUGAACUUAAGCCCCAGUAAACGGCGGCCGUAACUAUAACGGUCCUAAGGUAGCGAAAUUCCUUGUCGGGUAAGUUCCGACCCGCACGAAAGGCGUAACGAUUUGGGCACUGUCUCAACAACAGACUCGGUGAAAUUGUAAUUCCGGUGAAGAUGCCGGAUACCUGCGACAGGACGGAAAGACCCCAUGGAGCUUUACUGUAGCUUGACAUUGGGUCUUGGUACUACAUGUACAGGAUAGGUGGGAGGCUUUGAAACCAGGACGCCAGUUUUGGCGGAGCCAUCCUUGGGAUACCACCCUUGUAGUACUGGGACUCUAACCAUAGGCCAUGAAUCUGGUCUUGGGACACUGUCAGGUGGGCAGUUUGACUGGGGCGGUCGCCUCCCAAAAGGUAACGGAGGCGCUCAAAGGUUCUCUCAGUACGGUCGGAAAUCGUACGUAGAGUGUAAAGGCAAAAGAGAGCUUGAUUGCAAGACAUACAGGUCGAGCAAGGAUGAAAAUCGGACUUAGUGAUCCGGUGGUUCUGCGUGGAAGGGCCAUCGCUCAAC
This 793-nucleotide ribosomal RNA is filed under the name Clostridioides difficile. RNAcentral describes it as "partial 23S ribosomal RNA". It matches the Rfam family "Bacterial large subunit ribosomal RNA", at positions 1649 to 2453 of the family's 2925-position model. The record is from RNAcentral. Lineage: Bacteria; Bacillati; Bacillota; Clostridia; Peptostreptococcales; Peptostreptococcaceae.